UGUGAUAAAAUGUUCUGGCGAAAGCAGC
RNAcentral lists this non-coding RNA (28 nucleotides) under Rattus norvegicus (Norway rat). The record is from RNAcentral. Lineage: Eukaryota; Metazoa; Chordata; Mammalia; Rodentia; Muridae.